RNAcentral lists this ribosomal RNA (569 nucleotides) under uncultured bacterium. RNAcentral's name for it is "bacterial SSU rRNA". It matches the Rfam family "Bacterial small subunit ribosomal RNA", at positions 13 to 568 of the family's 1533-position model. The record is from RNAcentral.
UUGAUCAUGGCUCAGAUUGAACGCUGGCUGGCAAGCCUAACACAUGCAAGUCGAGCGGCAGCACAAGGGAGUUUACUCCUGAGGUGGCGAGCGGCGGACGGGUGAGUAAUGCCUAGGGAUCUGCCCAGUCGAGGGGGAUAACAGUUGGAAACGACUGCUAAUACCGCAUACGCCCUACGGGGUGAAAGAGGGGGACUUUCGGGCCUCUCGCGAUUGGAUGAACCUAGGUGGGAUUAGCUAGUUGGUGAGGUAAUGGCUCACCAAGGCGACGAUCCCUAGCUGUUCUGAGAGGAUGAUCAGCCACACUGGGACUGAGACACGGCCCANGACUCCUACGGGAGGCAGCAGUGGGGAAUAUUGCACAAUGGGGGAAACCCUGAUGCAGCCAUGCCGCGUGUGUGAAGAAGGCCUUCGGGUUGUAAAGCACUUUCAGUAGGGAGGAAAGGUUGUAAGUUAAUACCUUGCAGCUGUGACGUUACCUACAGAAGAAGGACCGGCUAACUCCGUGCCAGCAGCCGCGGUAAUACGGAGGGUCCAAGCGUUAAUCGGAAUUACUGGGCGUAAAGCGU